GGCGAGGCAACAAAACCGGAAAUUUCACGGGGCAAUCGGCCAUCGACUAUCGAGGCAGGGAAUUAAUAGGGGGGCGGGCGAAUGACGCCGAAUUGGGCAGGAAGCGACGAGCACCAGCGCGUGGAGAGAGGGGGGCGGCGGCUCGGCUUAGUGGAGAGUGAUGCGGGAAACAACGAAAAAUUUUCUCGGGCAAAUCGAGAGGAGAGAGAGAUGGAGGGAGAGGACGAAAAAAUCGCAGGAUAAUUUCCCUCUUGCUCCGGCGGAUUUACCUAAUCGCCCGCGGCGGAGCACAAUCUGGG
This 299-nucleotide long non-coding RNA is filed under the name Setaria italica (foxtail millet). RNAcentral's name for it is "long non-coding RNA (SITA_LNC000711)". The record is from RNAcentral. Lineage: Eukaryota; Viridiplantae; Streptophyta; Magnoliopsida; Poales; Poaceae.